This is a regulatory RNA element of Monodelphis domestica (gray short-tailed opossum), 46 nucleotides long. It matches the Rfam family "Histone 3' UTR stem-loop". Rfam says of the family: The mRNAs of metazoan histone genes lack a poly-A tail. 3' end processing occurs at a site between a highly conserved stem-loop (modelled by this family) and a purine rich region around 20 nts downstream (the histone downstream element, or HDE). The stem-loop is bound by a 31 kDa stem-loop binding protein (SLBP - also termed the histone hairpin binding protein, or HBP). The record is from Rfam. Lineage: Eukaryota; Metazoa; Chordata; Mammalia; Didelphimorphia; Didelphidae.
CAAAAGGCUCUUUUAAGAGCCACAUAUUUUCAUCAAAAAGAACUGU